Molecule: ribosomal RNA, 279 nt
Filed under: uncultured bacterium
Lineage: Bacteria
Description: partial 16S ribosomal RNA
Rfam family: Bacterial small subunit ribosomal RNA
Source: RNAcentral
UGCCAGCAGCCGCGGUAAUACGAAGGGACCUAGCGUAGUUCGGAAUUACUGGGCGUAAAGCGUACGUAGGCGGAUUAAUAAGUUAGAGGUGAAAUCCCAGGGCUCAACCCUGGAACUGCCUUUAAAACUGUUAGUCUUGAGAUCGAGAGAGGUGAGUGGAAUUCCAAGUGUAGAGGUGAAAUUCGUAGAUAUUUGGAGGGACACCAGUGGCGAAGGCAGUUCACUGGACCGUGAUCGACGCUGAGGAGCGAAAGCUAGGGGAGCAAACAGGAUUAGAUA